GAACGGGUGAGUAACACGUGGGUAAUCUGCCUUACGGAUGGGGGACAACGGCCCCGAAAGGGUCGCUAAUACCGAAUACGUUGAGCGGGACGAUGGUCCUGUUCAAGAAAGACGGGGAUCGCAAGACCUGUCACCGUAAGAUGAGCCUGCGGCUGAUUAGCUAGUUGGCGGGGUAAAGGCCCACCAAGGCGACGAUCAGUAGCCGGCCUGAGAGGGUGUACGGCCACAUUGGGACUGAGAUACGGCCCAGACUCCUACGGGAGGCAGCAGUUAAGAAUCUUGGACAAUGGACGCAAGUCUGAUCCAGCGACGCCGCGUGAACGAUGAAGGUCUUCGGAUUGUAAAGUUCAGUAAGAUGGGACGAAGAAGCUGAAGGUAAUAUUUUCAGUGGUGACGGUACCAUCCUAAAGCCUCGGCUAAAUACGUGCCAGCAGCCGCGGUAAUACGUAUGAGGCAAGCGUUGUUCGGAAUUAUUGGGCGUAAAGGGCAUCUAGGCGGGAUAUUAAGUCAGGUGUGAAAGCCAAGGGCUC
RNAcentral lists this ribosomal RNA (530 nucleotides) under uncultured bacterium. RNAcentral describes it as "bacterial SSU rRNA". It matches the Rfam family "Bacterial small subunit ribosomal RNA", at positions 100 to 610 of the family's 1533-position model. The record is from RNAcentral.